GUCCAGAUCAAAUUACCAACCACGAUCAUAUUUGUCUGUUAACGGAUUCUACCCGUUUAUGUCCCCGGAGCACACGCUUGUGAGCAACGCGCCAUAAUAGAGUGUAAAUUCCUCUAAUUAUGUAGAUCAACAUUAGGGCUGUAAUCUAAUUAUACGAUCUAGCUCCUUCCGAUCAUCACUGUACCCGGUUAGUCUUUCCAAUAUAAAUAAUAUAUUGUAUUCCAGUGAUAAUCGACCAGCUUCCUUAAGUAUAUAACUUAAGUAUGUUCCAACAAGUAAUAAUUCCACGAUAAUCAUGUAAAGUAAUUCCAU
This 312-nucleotide long non-coding RNA is filed under the name Hordeum vulgare. RNAcentral's name for it is "long non-coding RNA (HVUL_LNC000738)". The record is from RNAcentral. Lineage: Eukaryota; Viridiplantae; Streptophyta; Magnoliopsida; Poales; Poaceae.